AUUGAACGCUGGCGGAAUGCUUUACACAUGCAAGUCGAACGGCAGCACGGACUUCGGUCUGGUGGCGAGUGGCGAACGGGUGAGUAACAUAUCGGAACGUAUCCAAUAAUGGGGGAUAACUAAUCGAAAGGUUGGCUAAUACCGCAUACGCCCUACGGGGGAAAGCUAGGGACCUUCGGGCCUGGCGUUAAUGGAGCGGCCGAUAUCUGAUUAGCUAGUUGGUGGGGUAAAGGCCCACCAAGGCGACGAUCAGUAGCUGGUCUGAGAGGACGACCAGCCACGCUGGAACUGAGACACGGUCCAGACUCCUACGGGAGGCAGCAGUGGGGAAUUUUGGACAAUGGGCGCAGGCCUGAUCCAGCCAUUCCGCGUGAGUGAAGAAGGCCUUCGGGUUGUAAAGCUCUUUCGCAAGGGAAGAAAACUUAGCCUCUAACGUAGGCUGAGGUUGACGGUACCUUGAUAAGAAGCACCGGCUAACUACGUGCCAGCCGCCGCUGUAA
Molecule: ribosomal RNA, 500 nt
Filed under: uncultured bacterium
Lineage: Bacteria
Description: partial 16S ribosomal RNA
Rfam family: Bacterial small subunit ribosomal RNA
Source: RNAcentral